This 253-nucleotide ribosomal RNA is filed under the name uncultured bacterium. Its description in RNAcentral is "partial 16S ribosomal RNA". It matches the Rfam family "Bacterial small subunit ribosomal RNA", at positions 524 to 776 of the family's 1533-position model. The record is from RNAcentral.
UACGGGGGGGGCAAGCGUUGUUCGGAAUUACUGGGCGUAAAGGGCUGGUAGGCGGCCAACUAAGUCGGAUGUGAAAUCCCCAGGCUUAACCUGGGAACUGCAUCCGAUACUGGUCGGUUUGAAUCCGGGAGAGGGAUGCAGAAUUCCAGGUGUAGCGGUGAAAUGCGUAGAUAUCUGGAGGAAUACCGGUGGCGAAGGCGGCAUCCUGGACCGGCAUUGACGCUGAACAGCGAAAGCUAGGGGAGCAAACGGG